This 458-nucleotide ribosomal RNA is filed under the name uncultured bacterium. Its description in RNAcentral is "partial 16S ribosomal RNA". It matches the Rfam family "Bacterial small subunit ribosomal RNA", at positions 29 to 507 of the family's 1533-position model. The record is from RNAcentral.
AACGAACGCUGGCGGCAUGCCUAACACAUGCAAGUCGAACGAGACCUUCGGGUCUAGUGGCGCACGGGUGCGUAACGCGUGGGAACCUGCCCUUAGGUUCGGAAUAACUCCCCGAAAGGGGUGCUAAUACCGGAUAAUGUCUUCGGACCAAAGAUUUAUCGCCUUUGGAUGGGCCCGCGUUGGAUUAGCUAUUUGGUAAGGUAAAAGCCUACCACGGCGACGAUCCAGAGCUGGUCUGAGAGGAUGAUCAGCCACACUGGAACUGAGACACGGCCCAGACGCCGAGGGGAGGCAGCAGUAGGGAAUCUUCCGCAAUGGGCGAAAGCGUGACGGAGCAACGCAGCGUGAGUGAUGAAGGUCUUCGGAUCGUAAAACUCUGUUAUUAGGGAAGAACAAAUGUGUAAGUAACUAUGCACGUCUUGACGGUACCUAAUCAGAAAGCCACGGCUAACUACGUG